GACGAACGCUGGCGGCGUGCCUAAUACAUGCAAGUUGAGCGCUGAAGGUUGGUACUUGUACCAACUGGAUGAGCAGCGAACGGGUGAGUAACGCGUGGGGAAUCUGCCUUUGAGCGGGGGACAACAUUUGGAAACGAAUGCUAAUACCGCAUAAAAACUUUAAACACAAGUUUUAAGUUUGAAAGAUGCAAUUGCGUCACUCAAAGAUGAUCCCGCGUUGUAUUAGCUAGGUGGUGAGGUAAAGGCUCAACAAGGCGAUGAUACAUAGCCGACCUGAGAGGGGGAUUGGCCACAAUGGGACGGAGACAAGGCCCAAUGUCCUACGGGAAGGAGCCAUAGGGAAUCUUUGGACAUGGACGGAAGUCUGACCGAGGAACGCCGGGUGAGUGAAGAAGGUUUUCGGAUCGUAAAACUCUGUUGGUAGAGAAGAAAGUUGGUGAGAGUGGAAAGCUCAUAAAGUGACGGUAACUACUCAGAAAGGGACGGCUAACUACGUG
This 497-nucleotide ribosomal RNA is filed under the name uncultured bacterium. RNAcentral's name for it is "partial 16S ribosomal RNA". It matches the Rfam family "Bacterial small subunit ribosomal RNA", at positions 28 to 507 of the family's 1533-position model. The record is from RNAcentral.